RNAcentral lists this ribosomal RNA (643 nucleotides) under Ligilactobacillus murinus. RNAcentral describes it as "bacterial SSU rRNA". It matches the Rfam family "Bacterial small subunit ribosomal RNA", at positions 293 to 927 of the family's 1533-position model. The record is from RNAcentral. Lineage: Bacteria; Bacillati; Bacillota; Bacilli; Lactobacillales; Lactobacillaceae.
UGAGAGGUUGAUCGGCCACAUUGGGACUGAGACACGGCCCAAACUCCUACGGGAGGCAGCAGUAGGGAAUCUUCCACAAUGGGCGAAAGCCUGAUGGAGCAACGCCGCGUGGGUGAAGAAGGUCUUCGGAUCGUAAAACCCUGUUGUUAGAGAAGAAAGUGCGUGAGAGUAACUGUUCACGUUUCGACGGUAUCUAACCAGAAAGCCACGGCUAACUACGUGCCAGCAGCCGCGGUAAUACGUAGGUGGCAAGCGUUAUCCGGAUUUAUUGGGCGUAAAGGGAACGCAGGCGGUCUUUUAAGUCUGAUGUGAAAGCCUUCGGCUUAACCGGAGUAGUGCAUUGGAAACUGGGAGACUUGAGUGCAGAAGAGGAGAGUGGAACUCCAUGUGUAGCGGUGAAAUGCGUAGAUAUAUGGAAGAACACCAGUGGCGAAAGCGGCUCUCUGGUCUGUAACUGACGCUGAGGUUCGAAAGCGUGGGUAGCAAACAGGAUUAGAUACCCUGGUAGUCCACGCCGUAAACGAUGAAUGCUAAGUGUUGGAGGGUUUCCGCCCUUCAGUGCUGCAGCUAACGCAAUAAGCAUUCCGCCUGGGGAGUACGACCGCAAGGUUGAAACUCAAAGGAAUUGACGGGGGCCCGCACA